UAAAAUGAAAAUCAUGUGUUUGUUACUGGAAGGGAGCAAGGCAGUGGUAUUUUAGUAUCUGGCCCUCUUCUAUUACUGCACCUAGAACAGCUCAGACACAGAAAUAGAUUUAAACUGGAUUUAAACUGCACCCAGAGCAGCUCCAGAUACAGGAAUGGAUUGAAACUGCACCCAGAGCAGCUCAGACACAGGAAUGGAUUAAAACUGGAUUUAAACUGCACCCAGAGCAGCUCAGAUACAGGAAUGGAUUCACCUGCUCCAUUUAAACUGGAAUUAAACUAGACUUAAACUGGUUUGAAACUGGGUUUAAACUGCACCCAGAGCAGCCCAGACACAGAAAUGGAUUGAAACUGGGUUUAAACUGGAUUUAAACUGGUGCAAGGACAGAGGGCAGCAGAGCAGCCCCAAGCUCUGACUCAGAGUUAUCCCACGUGGCAGAAAGCCUGGAGUGAAUCCAUCACAAUUUUAGGGAAGAAAUGUGAAGCAAAAACUGCAUCACCUUCUUUGGGGGCAGGAAUGAAAAUGCCAAAAUGGCUCAGCUUGGAAAAGGCUGCAGGGAGAGCUCAGAGAAAGGGAAAGAAAAUCCCAGGGAAAUGGAGGAACAGGACACAGAGGGAAAGGCUGGAUGGGAUUUUGGGAUGGAAUUCCUGGCUGAGAGGGAUUUGGGACAGGGAAUGGGGCAGGGCUGGAUGGGAUUUUGGGAUGGAAUUCCUGGCUGGGAGGGAUUGGGGACAGGGGAUGGGAUUUUAGGAUGGAAUUCCUGGCUGAGAGGGAUUUGGGACAGGGAAUGGGGCAGGGCUGGAUGGGAUUUUGGGAUGGAAUUCUGGCUGGAGAGGGAUUUGGGACAAGGGAUGGGGCAGGGCUGGAUGGGAUUUUGGGAUUUUGGGAUGGAAUUCCUGGCUGGAGAGGGAUUUGGGACAGGAGACAGAAGGCAGGGAUGGAAUUCCUGGCUGAGAGGGAUUUGGGACAGGGAAUGGGGCAGGGCUGGAUGGGAUUUUGGGAUGGAAUUCUGGCUGGAGAGGGAUUUGGGACAAGGGAUGGGGCAGGGCUGGAUGGGAUUUUGGGAUGGAAUUCCUGGCUGGGAGGGAUUUGGGCUCCCACUGCUCACAAACUCCCACUUCCCACUCCCUUCAUCUCCCCAGCUAUGGACAUCCAACACAAACAAAACAACUUUAAUUUAAGAAUCAUCCAGUUUCUAAUUAAACAGCCAUAGGCAGCUGGCUGGAUACAUUUUCAUCAGCUUCAAUAAGGUAUUGAUUGGAUACUGAAGCUUAAAAAUUAAAAGUAAAAAGAUGACCAGGGAAUUGUCCCAUCUCAGCCCAGCAGCAGAGCCCUGUGUAAAUAACUCCUCUUUUAACCAUCAGCUAAAUGAACACUUCAAUACUGCACUACAAAGUCUUCUGCAAAAUUACUUUAACUAACAAGCAGAAAUUUAUCAGCUUCAGCCAAAAUCAAUGCUGAAAUCAAUUUGAACACUGGUUGUGUCUAAAGGGGCUCAUUGGCAAUUUAGGGAAAUUACACCAUGUAAAUGCCUGUGCUUUAAUUGAACAGUUUCAUCAACUAGGCUGUGAUUGCUGUCCAUUCAUUUAUUUACUUUCACUGCAGCUCCCAUUCUGCAGAGGAAUGGCUUUUGUCAGACUCAAAGGAGCUACUUUAUCUUCAUUUUAUGCACUUUUGUGCAUAACAGAUUUUUUAUGGGGCGGCCAAGCCAGGGUCAGAGAGUGACCAGUCCUGGUUAAACCAGACUGGAAUUAGAUGAAACCCAGUGGGGCACCUCAAACUCAGCCAGGUAUUGCUGCUCCAACUUUAGGGGAGGCUGCAAAUAAAACCAAACAGGAGAAGCAGAAAAUCACCCCCAGAAACAGAAAAUGAAUGCACAGGAAUGGAAAGAAAGGGAAAUGAAUGCUCAGGAAUGGAAAGAAAGAAAUGAAUGCACAGGAAAGGAAAUAAAGAGAAAUGAAUGUACAGGAAAGGAAAGAAAGGAAAAUGAAUGCUAUGAAUGUACAGGAAAGGAAAGAAAGGGAAAUGAAUGUACAGGAAUGGAAAGAAAGGGAAAUGAAUGUACAGGAAAGGAAAGAAAGGGAGAUGAAUGUACAGGAAAGGAAAGGACAGGAAAGGAAAGAAAGGGAGAUGAAUGAACAGGAAAGGAAAGAAAGAAAUGAAUGCACAGGAAAGGAAAGAAAGGGAGAUGAAUGCACAGGAAAGGAAAUAAAGAAAUGAAUGCACAGGAAAGGAAAGAAAGAAAUGAAUGCACAGGAAAGGAAAUAAAGGGAAAUGAAUGUACAGGAAAUAAAGAGAAAUGAAUGUACAGGAAAGGAAAGAAAGGGAAAUGAAUGUACAGGAAUGGAAAGAAAGGGAAAUGAAUGUACAGGAAAGGAAAGAAAGGGAGAUGAAUGAACAGGAAAGGAAAGAAAGAAAUGAAUGCACAGGAAAGGAAAUAAAGGGAAAUGAAUGUACAGGAAAUAAAGAGAAAUGAAUGUACAGGAAAGGAAAGAAAGGGAAAUGAAUGUACAGGAAUGGAAAGAAAGGGAAAUGAAUGUACAGGAAAGGAAAGAAAGGGAGAUGAAUGAACAGGAAAGGAAAGAAAGAAAUGAAUGCACAGGAAAGGAAAUAAAGGGAAAUGAAUGUACAGGAAAUAAAGAGAAAUGAAUGUACAGGAAAGGAAAGAAAGGGAAAUGAAUGUACAGGAAUGGAAAGAAAGGGAAAUGAAUGUACAGGAAAGGAAAGAAAGGGAGAUGAAUGAACAGGAAAGGAAAGAAAGAAAUGAAUGCACAGGAAAGGAAAGAAAGGGAAAUGCCUCCACAGGAAAGGAAAGAAAGAAAUGAAUGCACAGGAAAGGAAAGAAAGGGAGAUGAAUGCACUGGAAAGGAAAUAAAGAAAUGAAUGCACAGGAAAGGAAAGGAAAGGGAAAUGCCUCCACAGAAAUUAAGGGAGAUGCAAUUUUAAGGCUUCCAAGGGUCAAAGAUGUACUUUAAUGGCAAAUAAGUCACUGAGCCUGCCUGGGAUCCUUCCCUGAGCACCAGGCUGGGAAUCUGCAGCUCCAUUCCUGCCUCUGUCACUGCUGGGAAAGUGAUUCUGUCUCCAUUUCCCCUCUGCCAGGAGGCCAAAAUAAUCUCUGAAUUAAAGAAUUGUAGAAAAAAAACUGCAAAUGAUGGUUCAGGGGUUGGAGAAGGGAAGGACCAGAUAUCAAGGAGUAUUACUAAGUUAUUUUGUCAAAUUCUAAAAACAUUUUUCUGUAUUUGCAGUAUGUGAAAAAAAAACCUUUAAAGCUUUUUCAGCAGCAAUUUUAUAUAACAUUUUAUAUUUAGAGCUGAAGGAAAUGGAUGAGCUUAAUGAUUCUCCUUGAUAUUCCUGAGCCUAAAGGGGCUCCAGGACAGCUGGGGAGGGAUUUGGGAUAAGGGACAGGACACAGGGAAUGGAUUCCACUGCCAGAGGGAGGGAGGGAUGAAGGGAUGGAGGGAGGCCCCCCCCCCCCCCCCCUGGAUGGAUGGAUGGAUGGAUGGAUGGAUGGAUGGAUGGAUGGAUGGAUGGAUGGAUGGAUGGAUGGAUGGAUGGAUGGAUGGAUGGAUGGAUGGAUGGAUGGAUGGAUGGAUGGAUGGAUGGAUG
Ficedula albicollis (Collared flycatcher) is the source of this 3606-nucleotide long non-coding RNA. The record is from Ensembl. Lineage: Eukaryota; Metazoa; Chordata; Aves; Passeriformes; Muscicapidae.